ACGGAAGGCAGCAGUGGGGAAUAUUGGACAAUGGGGGAAACCCUGAUCCAGCGACGCCGCGUGAGUGAAGAAGUAUUUCGGUAUGUAAAGAUCUAUCAGCAAGGAAGAAAAUGACGGUACUUGACUAAGAAGCCCCGGCUAACUACGUGCCAGCAGCCGCGGUAAUACGUAGGGGGCAAGCGUUAUCCGGAUUUACUGGGUGUAAAGGGAGCGUAGGCGGUUUGGCAAGCCAGAAGUGAAAACCCGGGGCUCAACCUCGGGAUUGCUUUUGGAACUGUCGAACUAGAGUGUUGGAGAGGUAAGUGGAAUUCCUAGUGUAGCGGUGAAAUGCGUAGAUAUUAGGAGGAACACCAGUGGCGAAGGCGGCUUACUGGACAAUAACUGACGCUGAGGCUCGAAAGCGUGGGGAGCAAACAGGAUUAGAUACCCUGGUA
RNAcentral lists this ribosomal RNA (434 nucleotides) under uncultured bacterium. RNAcentral describes it as "partial 16S ribosomal RNA". It matches the Rfam family "Bacterial small subunit ribosomal RNA", at positions 341 to 792 of the family's 1533-position model. The record is from RNAcentral.